This 797-nucleotide ribosomal RNA is filed under the name uncultured bacterium. RNAcentral's name for it is "bacterial SSU rRNA". It matches the Rfam family "Bacterial small subunit ribosomal RNA", at positions 11 to 797 of the family's 1533-position model. The record is from RNAcentral.
GUUUGAUCCUGGCUCAGAGUGAACGCUGGCGGUAGGCCUAACACAUGCAAGUCGAACGGCAGCACAGAGGAGCUUGCUCCUUGGGUGGCGAGUGGCGGACGGGUGAGGAAUACAUCGGAAUCUACUCUGUCGUGGGGGAUAACGUAGGGAAACUUACGCUAAUACCGCAUACGACCUACGGGUGAAAGCAGGGGAUCUUCGGACCUUGCGCGAUUGAAUGAGCCGAUGUCGGAUUAGCUAGUUGGCGGGGUAAAGGCCCACCAAGGCGACGAUCCGUAGCUGGUCUGAGAGGAUGAUCGGCCACACUGGAACUGAGACACGGUCCAGACUCCUACGGGAGGCAGCAGUGGGGAAUAUUGGACAAUGGGCGCAAGCCUGAUCCAGCCAUACCGCGUGGGUGAAGAAGGCCUUCGGGUUGUAAAGCCCUUUUGUUGGGAAAGAAAUCCAGCCGGCUAAUACCUGGUUGGGAUGACGGUACCCAAAGAAUAAGCACCGGCUAACUUCGUGCCAGCAGCCGCGGUAAUACGAAGGGUGCAAGCGUUACUCGGAAUUACUGGGCGUAAAGCGUGCGUAGGUGGUUAUUUAAGUCCGUUGUGAAAGCCCUGGGCUCAACCUGGGAACUGCAGUGGAUACUGGAUGACUAGAAUGUGGUAGAGGGUAGCGGAAUUCCUGGUGUAGCAGUGAAAUGCGUAGAGAUCAGGAGGAACAUCCAUGGCGAAGGCAGCUACCUGGACCAACAUUGACACUGAGGCACGAAAGCGUGGGGAGCAAACAGGAUUAGAUACCCUGGUAGUCCA